Molecule: ribosomal RNA, 170 nt
Filed under: uncultured bacterium
Lineage: Bacteria
Description: partial 16S ribosomal RNA
Rfam family: Bacterial small subunit ribosomal RNA
Source: RNAcentral
CCUACGGGAGGCAGCAGUUAGGGAAUUUUGUCAAUGGGCGAAAGCCUGAACGAGUGACGCCGCGUGCGGGAUGACGCCUUUCGGGGUGUAAACCGCUUUUCCCAGGGACGAGGAUGGACGGUACUUGGGGAAUAAGUCUCGGCUAGCUACGUGCCAGCAGCCGCGGUAAU